RNAcentral lists this ribosomal RNA (497 nucleotides) under uncultured bacterium. Its description in RNAcentral is "partial 16S ribosomal RNA". It matches the Rfam family "Bacterial small subunit ribosomal RNA", at positions 30 to 523 of the family's 1533-position model. The record is from RNAcentral.
AUUGAACGCUGGCGGCAUGCUUUACACAUGCAAGUCGAACGGCAGCGCAGGGCAACCUGGCGGCGAGUGGCGAACGGGUGAGUAAUACAUCGGAACGUACCCAGAAGUGGGGGAUAACGUAGCGAAAGUUACGCUAAUACCGCAUACGUUCUACGGAAGAAAGUGGGGGACCGCAAGGCCUCAUGCUUUUGGAGCGGCCGAUGUCUGAUUAGCUAGUUGGUGAGGUAAAGGCUCACCAAGGCGACGAUCAGUAGCCGGUCUGAGAGGACGACCAGCCACACUGGGACUGAGACACGGCCCAGACUCCUACGGGAGGCAGCAGUGGGGAAUUUUGGACAAUGGGCGCAAGCCUGAUCCAGCAAUGCCGCGUAGUGAAGAAGGCCUUCGGGUUGUAAAGCUCUUUUGUCAGGGAAGAAACAGCUGAGGUUAAUACCUUCGGCUAAUGACGGUACCUGAAGAAUAAGCACCGGCUAACUACGUGCCAGCCGCCGCCGUAA